This 334-nucleotide ribosomal RNA is filed under the name Thaleichthys pacificus (eulachon). RNAcentral describes it as "partial 16S ribosomal RNA". It matches the Rfam family "Bacterial large subunit ribosomal RNA", at positions 668 to 1084 of the family's 2925-position model. Lineage: Eukaryota; Metazoa; Chordata; Actinopteri; Osmeriformes; Osmeridae. The record is from RNAcentral.
CAGAAUACUCAAGCAAAGAGAACUUCAGUUUGAGCCCCCGAAACUGGACGAGCUACUCCGAGACAGCCUAUUAUAGGGCCUAUCCGUCUCUGUUGCAAAAGAGUGGAGAGAGCUCCGAGUAGAAGUGAAAUACCUAUCGAGUCUAGUUAUAGCUGGUUGUUUAGGAAAUGAAUAGGAGUUCAGCCCUCCGGCUUCUCAAAUCCUUAAGAUUCUUCUUCUGAUGUUAAAGAGAAACCAGAGGAGUUAGUCAAAGGAGGUACAGCUCCUUUGAACCAGGACACAACCUUAUAAGGCGGUCAAGGAUCAUAAUUUUUAAGGUAGACUGUUUCAGUGG